GCCCGGGUGGUGGAACAGGCAGACACAAGGGACUUAAAAUCCCUCGGUAGCAAUACCAUGCGAGUUCGAUUCUCGCCCCGGGCACCA
This 87-nucleotide transfer RNA is filed under the name Parcubacteria group bacterium CG1_02_40_82. Its description in RNAcentral is "tRNA-Leu". It matches the Rfam family "tRNA". Rfam says of the family: Transfer RNA (tRNA) molecules are approximately 80 nucleotides in length. The record is from RNAcentral. RNAcentral also lists the same sequence under 4 other names.